Molecule: ribosomal RNA, 424 nt
Filed under: Verrucomicrobiota bacterium
Lineage: Bacteria; Pseudomonadati; Verrucomicrobiota
Description: Verrucomicrobia bacterium partial 16S ribosomal RNA
Rfam family: Bacterial small subunit ribosomal RNA
Source: RNAcentral
UGAGGAAUAUUGGUCAAUGGGCGAGAGCCUGAACCAGCCAAGUAGCGUGCAGGAUGACGGCCCUAUGGGUUGUAAACUGCUUUUAUAUGGGAAUAAAGUGAGGGACGUGUCCCUUAUUGCAUGUACCAUACGAAUAAGGACCGGCUAAUUCCGUGCUAGCAGCCGCGGUAAUACGGAAGGUCCAGGCGUUAUUCGGAUUUAUUGGGUUUAAAGGGAGCGUAGGCUGUUUGUUAAGCGUGUUGUGAAAUGUAGGAGCUCAACUUGUAGAUUGCAGCGCGAACUGGCUGACUUGAGUGCGCACAACGUAGGCGGAAUUCAUGGUGUAGCGGUGAAAUGCUUAGAUAUCAUGACGAACUCCGAUUGCGAAGGCAGCUUACGGGAGCGCAACUGACACUAAAGAUCGAAGGUGAGGGUAUCGAACAGG